This 502-nucleotide ribosomal RNA is filed under the name uncultured bacterium. RNAcentral describes it as "partial 16S ribosomal RNA". It matches the Rfam family "Bacterial small subunit ribosomal RNA", at positions 29 to 507 of the family's 1533-position model. The record is from RNAcentral.
AGCGAACGCUGGCGGCGUGCCUAACACAUGCAAGUCGAACGUGAAAGGGAGCGAUCCCAAGUAAAGUGGCGUACGGGUGAGUAACACGUAGGUAAUCUACCCCAGAAUCUGGAAUAACCGGCCGAAAGGCUGGCUAAUACUGGAUAGAGCGACGGAAUCCGUAAUUGGGUUUUUCGGGAAAGGGAGCCUGUAAAAAGGCCUUCGUUCUGGGAUGAGCCUGCGUCCCAUCAGCUAGUUGGUGAGGUAAAAGCUUACCAAGGCAAUGACGGGUAGCUGGUCUGAGAGGACGAUCAGCCACACUGGAACUGAAACACGGUCCAGACUCCUACGGGAGGCAGCAGUGGGGAAUCUUGCGCAAUGGACGAAAGUCUGACGCAGCAACGCCGCGUGAGUGAAGAAGGCCUUCGGGUUGUAAAGCUCUGUCGAGUGGGACGAAAAUGCUUGGAGUUCACAGCUCCAGGAACUGACGGUACCACUAAAGGAAGCACCGGCUAACUCCGUG